UGUGUCACAUGUAGUAAAAUGAAACUUACUUUUCAACUAACUCAACUAAACUCGUUAACUCCACUUCAAGAUUCCCAGAACCACAACAGACACCUCUGGACCUAACACCCACUUCCACAUUAUCCAGUUAUUCGAAUUCCUGAAACAUCAAUGACUCCAAUGUGAAGUAGGUACCCUUACUAUUUCCAUUUCGAAGAUGAAGAAACUGAGCACAAGGAGCAAGAUUACUUCCCAAGGACCACACAACUAGUAUGCAACACAACUUGG
Long non-coding RNA from Talpa occidentalis (Iberian mole), 267 nucleotides. RefSeq lists it as uncharacterized. The transcript is spliced from 3 exons. Lineage: Eukaryota; Metazoa; Chordata; Mammalia; Eulipotyphla; Talpidae. The record is from RefSeq and is a predicted model, not a curated record.